CCAAAGCAAUUUCAUUUCCCUCUCGUAUCUUCUUCUUAUUCUUCCUCUAUGCUUAAUCGUUUCAUCACCUUGAAAGCCGAGGAGAAGAAGAAGCCGAAGGAGCGUCGUCCGUUCUUGGCUUCAGAAUGCAGAGACUUAGCCGAGGCUCAUAAGUGGGGCCAGCAGAUCAUGCGCGAGAUCGGUCGCAAGGUUGCUGAGAUUCAGAACGAGGGCCUCGAUGUGCAUCGCCUCCGGGACCUCAAUGACGAGAUUAACAAGCUUAUACGGGAGAAGUCCCACCGGGAGCGCCGUAUCGUGUUGCUCGGUGGCCCCAAUUAGGCUAAGCACUCCGCAAAGAUGAAUGACCUAGACGGCAAUAUUGUGGACGAUUCAAACCCUAGCCGCCGUGGCCCUGGCUACCGGUAUUUUGGCAGAGGCGGUGGCAGACUGCGGAGGAUAAAAUGAGGGCAGAGGGUUCUGGAGAGGGUGGACAAGACUUCACUUGGCAUUGGUUGUCACAGCAGUAGUAUGCUGCUGGAUGAUGAAGUAUCUUUAUGGUGGCAGGGGACUCGGGGCUGGGCUCAACGGCAACGACUGGUGGCUCGAGGGCUGGGCUCGACAGCGGUAUGGGGGGUCUUGGGUCUGGGCUCGACGCCGUAGGGCCUGGGCAUUUUCUCAGUCCAUUCCCUCUCUCAGUUAGUCAGGGAUGAUUUUAGAAAGAAAUUUAGUCAGUCAAUUCUUACUUUGAAAAUACUAUUGGUGACGAGGGUGAGUACAAGGACGAGAAGAAGAAAUCUAUGUUCUUUGACAAUGAAUUUAGUAUUUUAUUUUAUUUGUAAUUUUUAUUAGAGUAAAUGAUUCUUUUUUGAGUAGUUAAUUAUUUACUUUGUAAAUCUAGUCAUAUUUUUUUUAAGGUCAAGACGAUUAUGUUUAUAGACAAGCCUAUAUGAUUUUUGAGUAAGUAGUGUUAUAUUUGUCAAAAAUUUGUUUUAUUAGAUUUGUAAAUACUUUGUGUAAGUUUUGUUAUUUUAAUCUAUAAUUUUUUAGAUUUGUAUAUAAA
Humulus lupulus (European hop) is the source of this 1039-nucleotide long non-coding RNA. RefSeq lists it as uncharacterized. The record is from RefSeq and is a predicted model, not a curated record. The transcript has 4 exons. Lineage: Eukaryota; Viridiplantae; Streptophyta; Magnoliopsida; Rosales; Cannabaceae.